AUAGUCUCGGUAAAAAUUUCAUUCUAAAGUCGGAUUUCGGGUUUGAGGAACCGUUUUUACACUUCCGUGGUAAAUUAUAUUUUGUUAAAUGUAACAAACUGUAACGUUAACUUAGUUGCUGUCUUCCUUGUUUGCCAAAUGAAUGUCGGAGGCUCGGAGCCGUCGCAUUUGACAUUUUCAGCACACCGUCACAUCUCACUCGACGUGGAGAAGCUGGCAGAGGAAUUGUCAAGAAAAGAAGAUACCAUUACGACUUUUUUUUUUAUUCUUUAAAAGAGAUUAUACGACUAGGUGAAGAUCUGACAUCGCGGAAUUCUUCAAGGAUAACGCAACUUUUCUGCCAAACGAGGUCAUAAUUGCUGCUGUAUUGUGCAUCCCAAGUACCCCCUGCAUUCGUAUCAAGGAUUGCUGUCAUUCAAGAACUUAUUUCCUCCCCAUUGUGGCUGAGCUACACAUUCUCUUCAUUUUAUUUUAAACAUAAAACAUCCAGAGGAGAUGGCACCUACGUUGGAAUUCAUACAAAUUCUUCCUGUGAAGAAAUCCUGAACGAGGGUCGACGGUUCAGAUGAAGGGAACCUAUGCUUCCAAGACUCAUGUAUGAACAACUUCGAGAAUCCAUGUACAAUUUGAGCUUUUUUCAAAUCUCAACAUGGAACUUGGACUGAACAUGCAGCAAAAAAAAAAAAAAAAAAGUAGUUUCCCCAAGCUGGCACAUGGCAAGCGAUACUAAAAGCACACAAACACUUGGAGCCCUGCUCUUAAUUUAGAUUGUAUAGUUCUCUUAGUUUCACAUUGAAAUGUUAGGCAUGAGUGCAUGAAUCUUUGUUCUUUAUUUUCAAAUGAUGUACAAGAAAGUUUUUUUUUGCAGUACCAUGUCAAUUGUAGAUGACAGAAUUCACAUUUUUGAUGUGAACUGUCCUUUUAAAUAACAUUUCACUUAACUAUUGACUAGAAGUCUGUAGCAAUUGUUAUUAAUGACAGCCCUGGCUUUGUAUUAAUUUUUUCCCAUGUAUCUGAAAAUGUUUUGAGUCUUGACUGUUUCACAGUGAAGUUUAUCUUUGUGACCACUAUUUGGUGCAACACCAAUAUUGUACAAGUAGCUGCUCAUGUUUUCCUUUUUCUG
Onychostoma macrolepis is the source of this 1123-nucleotide long non-coding RNA. RefSeq lists it as uncharacterized. Lineage: Eukaryota; Metazoa; Chordata; Actinopteri; Cypriniformes; Cyprinidae. The record is from RefSeq and is a predicted model, not a curated record. The transcript has 5 exons.